AACGAACGCUGGCGGCAUGCCUAACACAUGCAAGUCGAACGAGAUCUUCGGGUCUAGUGGCGCACGGGUGCGUAACGCGUGGGAAUCUGCCCUUUGGUUCGGAAUAACAGUUGGAAACGACUGCAAAUACCGGAUGAUGACGAAAGUCCAAAGAUUUAUCGCCAGAGGAUGAGCCCGCGUAGGAUUAGCUAGUUGGUGUGGUAAAGGCGCACCAAGGCGACGAUCCUUAGCUGGUCUGAGAGGAUGAUCAGCCACACUGGGACUGAGACACGGCCCAGACUCCUACGGGAGGCAGCAGUGGGAAAUAUUGGACAAUGGGCGAAAGCCUGAUCCAGCAAUGCCGCGUGAGUGAUGAAGGCCUUAGGGUUGUAAAGCUCUUUUACCCGGGAUGAUAAUGACAGUACCGGGAGAAUAAGCUCCGGCUAACUCCGUGCCAGCCGCCGCGGUAA
RNAcentral lists this ribosomal RNA (449 nucleotides) under uncultured bacterium. RNAcentral describes it as "partial 16S ribosomal RNA". It matches the Rfam family "Bacterial small subunit ribosomal RNA", at positions 29 to 523 of the family's 1533-position model. The record is from RNAcentral.